UACGGAGGGUGCAAGCGUUGUCCGGAUUUAUUGGGUUUAAAGGGUGCGUAGGCGGGGUUUUAAGUCAGGUUUGAAAGUUAGCUGCUCAACAGUUAGACGUGGCUGGAUACUGGGUUUCUGGAAUGGGUUGGCGGCUGCCGGAACGGGUCAUGUAGCGGUCAAAUGCAUAGAUAUGACCCAGAACACCGAUUGCGAAGGCAGGCAGCUACGACCUGAUUGACACUGAGGCACGAGAGCAUGGGGAGCGAACAGG
This 253-nucleotide ribosomal RNA is filed under the name uncultured bacterium. RNAcentral's name for it is "partial 16S ribosomal RNA". It matches the Rfam family "Bacterial small subunit ribosomal RNA", at positions 524 to 776 of the family's 1533-position model. The record is from RNAcentral.